RNAcentral lists this ribosomal RNA (396 nucleotides) under Staphylococcus sp. RNAcentral describes it as "bacterial SSU rRNA". It matches the Rfam family "Bacterial small subunit ribosomal RNA", at positions 57 to 443 of the family's 1533-position model. The record is from RNAcentral. Lineage: Bacteria; Bacillati; Bacillota; Bacilli; Caryophanales; Staphylococcaceae.
GCAGUCGAGCGAACAGACGAGGAGCUUGCUCCUUUGACGUUAGCGGCGGACGGGUGAGUAACACGUGGGUAACCUACCUAUAAGACUGGGAUAACUUCGGGAAACCGGAGCUAAUACCGGAUAAUAUUUCAAACCGCAUGGUUCGAUAGUGAAAGAUGGCUUUGCUAUCACUUAUAGAUGGACCUGCGCCGUAUUAGCUAGUUGGUAAGGUAACGGCUUACCAAGGCAACGAUACGUAGCCGACCUGAGAGGGUGAUCGGCCACACUGGAACUGAGACACGGUCCAGACUCCUACGGGAGGCAGCAGUAGGGAAUCUUCCGCAAUGGGCGAAAGCCUGACGGAGCAACGCCGCGUGAGUGAUGAAGGUCUUCGGAUCGUAAAACUCUGUUAUUAGG